GAUGAGCCCGUGGGCAUGUGCAUGAGGAGCCCCUGAGCGUGACCAGCCCGAGGGUGUGGGCGCGAUGAGCCUGUGGACGUGACGAGCCCGUGGACGUGAGCGUGCCGAGCUCGUGGGCGUGGCUGUGCGCAGGGCGUGAUGAGCCCGUGGGCGUGGGCAUGAUGAGCCUGUGGACGUGACGAGCCCGUGGUUGUGCGCGUGAGGAGCCCCUGAGCGUGACCAGCCCGUGGGCGUGGCCGUGCACAGGGCGUGACGAGCCCGUGGGCGUGCAUGUGCCGAGCCCCUGAGCGUGACCAGCCCGUGGGCGUGGGCGUGGGCGUGCCGAGCUCGUGGGCGUGGCCGUGCGCAGGAUGUGACGAGCCCGUGGGCGUGAAUGUGCCGAGCCCCUGAGCGUGACCAGCCCGUGGGCGUGGGCGUGCCGAGCUCGUGGGCGUGGCCGUGCGCAGGGUGUGACGAGCCCGUGGGCGUGCAUGUGCCGAGCCCCUGAGCGUGGCCAGCCCGUGGGCGUGGCCGUGCGCGUGCACGUGGGCGUGCGGAGCCCGUGGGUGUGGCUCGCCUGUGGGCGUGGCCGUGCGCGUGCGCGUGGGCUGUGCCUGCAAAAGGGGUGGCCGCGGGUGCCCCGAGGGCUGCGGGCCCCGGGGGAGGACAUGGGCGACAAGUACGGCGGCCUGCGGCGGGCCCAGCUGCACCUGGAUUUCAUCCACGCCAACUCCACCACGCACAGUUUCCUUUUUGGAGCACUGGCUGAGUUGCUGGACAAUGCAAGGUAAGGCUCAUCUGUAAACUGCUCCUAUGUGGCAGAAGGAGAUUGGCAAAGAAAAAUUGACUUCAGACCCAGGGGAGUGAGAAAAAUGUGAUCAAUAAAGCAAUUCUCAGAGCCACAUCUAUAAACUGGCAGCCCUCUGCCCCGCCUAGCCUGUCUCGUGUUUGUUUGACUCAUGGUGAGAGUUUGCACUGUAGUUAUAAAGAAAAGGAAGAAAAGAAGGGUUUAUGAAGGUUAAGAAACAGGAGGUGCCACAUAUAAAAUGUGGGUCCCUGGCCCUUCACUCCUCCCCCCCCCACUUUUUUUAACAAUUAGAUGUAGUAGCCUUGAGGCUGCUCAGUGGGCUCAGGUGCGUAGCAUGUGCUCUCUUGGGACAGUCUGUGCCUUCGGCUCUGCCAUUCCCAGUGCUCCCCACAGGCAGCCUGAACUCCUCAGUUCCUGUGUCUGCAGCAGACCC
RNAcentral lists this long non-coding RNA (1220 nucleotides) under Canis lupus familiaris (dog). RNAcentral describes it as "lncRNA (ENSCAFG00030022121.1)". The record is from RNAcentral. Lineage: Eukaryota; Metazoa; Chordata; Mammalia; Carnivora; Canidae.